Molecule: long non-coding RNA, 509 nt
Organism: Oreochromis niloticus (Nile tilapia)
Lineage: Eukaryota; Metazoa; Chordata; Actinopteri; Cichliformes; Cichlidae
Exons: 5
Source: RefSeq, a predicted model, not a curated record
CACAGCUCUCUGAUUGACACUUACACCUCCCAGGACAGUGCUGACUGGAAGGUUGGCCUAAAUUUAGAGAAGUCUGUGGCUGCUAGCCUGGAUGUGGGAGGAACGCAAUCCACUGCCUAUAACUUUGCUUCAGAAAGGACAAAAGAGGACCGCCACACCUUCAGCACACACAGGGUCACCUGCAACCAUUACAGUUACCGAGUAUCAGACAGAACGCCUCUCAGCUCUGAGUUCAGCUCGGCUGUAGCUAAGCUACCAGGUUUCUACAACAGCUCCACCAGAGCUCAGUACAGUCAGCUCAUACACACCUAUGGCACGCACUACAUCCGCCAGGUUAACCUUGGUGGUCGACUGAGGCGAGUCACAGCUGCACGAACCUGUCUGUCCUCCCUGAAUGGACUCACCUCAAAUGAGGUCCACUCCUGUUUGUCGCUGGGUUUCUCUGUCGGCUUGGGAAAGUUGCAACUAUCUGGUAACAGAGACUCUUGCAACAAGGUCUUACAAAACCA